UUCCCUGGGAGUGUGGGGGCCUUGUCUGAGGGUAGGGGGCUAUCCACCUUGGCCCCUGCCUCCUCUUCAUCGUCAUCCAUGCUAGGCCAGACGGACUGGUCCUCCACUCUCUUCAGCCGCUCAUUGAGGGCCUUCAGGGCCAGUUGCCUGGAGCCAGAGGAAAGAUGACAAGUCACUUUGGGUUUGGAUUUGGCUCAUGCCCUAUACAUUUCCCCAUGAAGCUGACUCCUCCUACCACCCAGACUUCUCUCAGAAUCCUGUGCAGGGACUGGACAGGGCCCAAUCUGCCAUCAGAAGGAGGAUUCAAAGGCUAUAUAGAGCCUUCUCUUCAUAGGGCAAUUCCAGGCUGAGAAGGCCAGUAGGGUGUCUGGCAGACUGCCCAGCAGGCCAGGCUCAGGAAUGAUUCUAAGGGUGGUGCCUAAGCAUGGACAAAGCUGGUAACCCAAGGAAGAUGGGUGGAAGGGUAAGUCACUUGGAUGUGGACACUAGCAUCACAUCCAAGGAGAGGGUUAUUACUUCUUUCUCUCCUUGUUAGGUGUGUUUUGAGUCUCUUGGCAAGGGUUGAAGGGGAAUGCUGGAACUCAAGCACCUAUGUUGGAUCUCAAUCUGGGAAGCAGGGCCAACUUAGGUCAGCCCAUCCUUCCUGACUAAUGUUCUCCUACCCCAAAGCCACCAGGACCCGUGUUAGAGCAGGAACAUACCAAGUGCUUGGAGAAAAGAGGAGGAACAACGUAUGUGUAUAGAACACAAGCCAGAGCCUACUGGUUCCAAUGGACAAACCCUUUUGGACCUCACUUUGAGGGGAGGUGGGAAAGUUGACUGGAAGGUAUACAUGUGUGCAUGUGACCCUACCCAGGAGGUGGAAUGCCCAUGCUGCCAGGUAAUACUUCCAACAGUGGUUACUGUGGAACCCUGAUGUCUCACCCUGUCUGUGCUGUAGGUAUGGGGGACAGCCUAUAAUAGCCUUCUAAAUUCCAACAGAGAAGCAAAGCCUCCAACGUGUCAGGAAACAUGACAGGAAAGGCAACAAGAACAUGGGCACAGAAAACCCUAGCACAAUUCCACCGUGUGCUCCAGCCUGACACAUGGCAAAUUGGCACAGAAAGGACGGUUCUUCCCCAUGCUACCCAGGCUCCCAUCUUGGAGACUGCCUUGCAAUUCUCUCUAAAGCCUGCUAAAAUGGAGAGACAGUGGCAUACUAAUAACUUUCUCACAACGGUCAAAGAUAGGAAACCCUGCCUCCCAUUACUAAUAGCCCUUUGGGCUUGGGCAUGGCAUGCUGCCAGAUGCCCAACUGGUUGGAGAAGUAACAACCACAAGGCUGUGUCAAGAACCUGCUCCCUGACAACCUUCUGUACCCCGGUCUGCCAUUUCUUGGGCCAAAGCAGAGGUGUUUUGAAUUUCCAGCCAACUCUAGCAAUCCAAGACUCACUAAAGGAGGAGUCACCACUGGGAGCUGCAGAGCUCUGAGGACAGCUCAGUUUCUAUCAGGUCUAGCCCUCUUGGUCCUACGUCUCCACUGGAUAAAGUGAAGAUAGAGCUCAGUCUUUACGAUUCAUCAGCUACAGAGACACCAUAGGGCCCACAUACUGACCUGCAGCAUGCUUUGUGUGCUUUUCAACACCCACCACUUUAGGCAGUAGUAAUCUGUGGCCCUUCCCCAGCUGGAAACUCCUUCAAGAAAGGGGUGUGUCUCAUGCUCUACUCCACCGCCCAGCGGAGAGUAAGCACAGGGAUAACCUUUCAGCUUAAUUCAUAAAGCUGCCUGCCAAGAAUCCAUUUCACAGGUGAGCAAAAGUAGAAGCCUUUGACAAACCAGAAAGUAGGAACAGAGCCUGCUCCAGAUUUUGCUACUAAAGUAACUGCCUCAAAAUACCCCUCAGCGAUAAUGUUGGAAACGGAGUAGUGACAACUCUGGUGCAUCCAGUGAAUAAUUCAGCUGGGACUCCAGAUGGUGCAGAUGGCUUAGUUUACAGGAAAGCACUACUGGAGCCCAGCAUGUAAAUGCCGAGUUUCUCAAGGCCACAAACCAGAUUUUAUCUCCUGAGGCUGCCCCAACACCUGACCCUUGGCUGCCAGUCAACACACAGCAAGCACAACAGAUGGAAUGGGACUUGAUCAAUAAAAAGUCUCUUAGCUCAGUAAGGUUUUGGAAGACUCCACAGUACCUUCUCCGCUCUGCGUCUUGAGGGUCUGUGCCUGGGAGGCUGAUGGUGAUGGAAGAUGGGGCACCUACAUCAUAGCGCUUCACUGUCUUCUGGCAUAUCUUUACCUUCACCAGGAGGCCGUGCACCAAGUUCGCCAACAGCCCCACCACAGGCUGCAGGAUCUCAGGAAAGAAGGUGGCAAAAGCAAAGUGGUCAGCCAUAUCCCCUCGGCCUCGGCUAUGGCGCUGGUAGAAGCGAAGAUACACCCAGCUGGAGAGCAGCCCAAAGCCAUAGGAGGCCAGCGCUGGGCUCUGGAGCAGCGUGGCCAGCCGCAGCAGCAGCAGCAGCCCCAAAAGCAGCAUGGGCACCACGCUGACGCGCACCUGCGGCACACGCAGGACCACGCAGUCCCCCAUGGUUUGCUUGAGUGCCACCAGGACACCACCUAGGAAGCCCAGGGCUCCGUGGAUGCGGAUAGUGAAAAGGUAGACCAAGUUGAAGGAAGCCAUGUAGGUGAGGAGGUAGGCGAAGGCCCCCAGCAGCCCCACAGACACGUUCACCACUGAGAAGAAGAUGAGCAGCUCCAGGGCCCCCCAGAGGGGCUCCAGCAAACGUCCAGCCACCACCACUGUGGCCAGGCUGAUGGCCACAUCCCACACGUGCUGUUCCAUCAGCCCAUGGGUGGCCAGAGUCCAGAUCCAGAAAUUGGGCGGAAAGAGGUAGCCUGGGGUGACCGCCAGGCAGCCCGUGUCCACGGCAAAGGACAGCAGAUAGAGGAAGAGUACUGCCGCGCACAGGGUCUUUACCACCAC
This is a long non-coding RNA of Canis lupus familiaris (dog), 2959 nucleotides long. RefSeq lists it as uncharacterized. The transcript has 3 exons. The record is from RefSeq and is a predicted model, not a curated record. Lineage: Eukaryota; Metazoa; Chordata; Mammalia; Carnivora; Canidae.